Non-coding RNA from Pteropus alecto (black flying fox), 103 nucleotides. Lineage: Eukaryota; Metazoa; Chordata; Mammalia; Chiroptera; Pteropodidae. The record is from Rfam.
GCACUUUCUUUGGCAACACAUAUGCUAAAAUUGGAACAAUACAGAGAUUACAUGGCCACUGUGCAAAAGUAACACACAAACUCGUGAAAUGUUUCAUAUUUUU